RNAcentral lists this ribosomal RNA (468 nucleotides) under uncultured archaeon. Its description in RNAcentral is "bacterial SSU rRNA". It matches the Rfam family "Archaeal small subunit ribosomal RNA", at positions 1 to 475 of the family's 1478-position model. The record is from RNAcentral.
UUCCGGUUGAUCCUGCCAGACCUGACUGCUAUCGGAUUGAUACUAAGCCAUGCGAGCCUUUGUAGUAAUACAAGGCAGACGGCUCAGCAACACGUAGUCAACCUACCCUAUGGACGAGAAUAAUCUCGGGAAACUGAGCAUAAUUCUUGAUAGAUCAUAAUGCCUGGAAUGGUUUAUGGUUAAAAUGAUUCGUCGCCAUAGGAUGGGACUGCGGCCUAUCAGCUUGUUGGUGAGGUAAUGGCCCACCAAGGCGAUUACAGGUACGGGCUCUGAGAGGAGAAGCCCGGAGAUGGGUACUGAGACACGGACCCAGGCCCUAUGGGGCGCAGCAGGCGAGAAAACUUUGCAAUGUGCGAAAGCACGACAAGGUUAAUCCGAGUGAUUUCUGCUAAAGAAAUCUUUUGCCAGUCGUAAAACCGCUGGUGAAUAAGGGGUGGGCAAGUUCUGGUGCCAGCAGCCGCGGUAAUA